CAUCAUAAUGGAUGGGUUUGUCCUUUAUGUGUUUGAAUUUCCAGAUACUUCUUUGUUCAUUUGUAAGCAUGAAAAUGAUUUUCUUGCCAAAUAUGGAUGUUUGGUGUUACUCAAUAUUUUUCUUCUAUUCAAGAAUAAUCAAGAGUAGUAUUGACAAACAUGGUUGUUCACUAGGUUCUGAUUACAUUGUUGCUACAACAAUUAUUUUUGGCCCCAUUUACAGAUGAGGAAAAUGCAACUCAGCAAUGCACUGCUCCAAGGUUAAGAUGGCUUGAAGAACUCAUUUCAGCAUUUAUUGUAAGGCAGAUCUAAUGGUGAUGAACUCCCUCGGCUUUUGUUUGUCUGGGCAGUGCUGAAGCUGAAAUUUGUGGUCUUUCCCUGGAUCACACAUGUGAGCCAGCUUUCUGUGCAUGCUCACUAUCCAUUUGCCAAAGCUCGCUCUCACCGCCUUUGGAAGCACACACAGGGAGCUGGCCACAGGGCGAGCUGGCCACAGAGUGGAGGAUUGUGUAGGUGAGUGUGCUGGAACUUCUGCUGGACUCCUGGACUUCCACAAAGGCUCUGUCUUUGUGGAUGAUGGUCUAAGACAAUGUUCUCCAAGAGCUCCUAGAGCAUGGCUGAGAGGUGCUGGAACCGGUCCAGGGGCCACUGCAGGGUCCAAAGCCAGGACUCAGAGGAAAGCAUCCUAAGUGAAGUAUCUUGAUGUCAGAAGGCUCAUUUCUUGGACUUUCUGGAGACAGUCAUCAACUAUCUGAGGAUGUCAGGCAAUCCUUCCAGACACGCUGAAAAGGAGCCAGCCAAGAGGCCAGCUUCCCAGGGAAUCUAUCCAGG
RNAcentral lists this long non-coding RNA (831 nucleotides) under Equus caballus (horse). Its description in RNAcentral is "lncRNA (ENSECAG00000052058.1)". Lineage: Eukaryota; Metazoa; Chordata; Mammalia; Perissodactyla; Equidae. The record is from RNAcentral.